RNAcentral lists this long non-coding RNA (309 nucleotides) under Homo sapiens (human). Its description in RNAcentral is "non-protein coding lnc-PRY2-3:1". The record is from RNAcentral. Lineage: Eukaryota; Metazoa; Chordata; Mammalia; Primates; Hominidae.
AUGGCACAUGUUUCUUCAGAAAUUCAAGAUGUUUCUCCCAAAGAUUAGUUAACUGGUUCAGAAGCCUCCAGUAGGUCUCCGUUGCGACAGAAUUUUCAAAGAUCUGCCUUUCUAGCCACCUUUCUGGCAGAAGAGAAAGAAUCCGAUGCCUUAAGCAAAUUAAAGUUUUAUUAUAAUCCAAAUUUCAAACGUGGCUGUCCCCAGCAUUUAGUAAGGGUGAAAAGAAGAAUUGGUGUUAAAAAUGCUUCACUUAUACCUACUUUAUUCAAUGAAGAUUUCAACAAGAAGCAUUUUAGAUCAGGAGCUAAC